UGGGAUGAGUGGCUUGUAAUCAAAGCUGAAAACUUGAGUGAGAUUGUUGAGAUUUGGAUGCUGAACAACAAGUGUCCACUGCGUGUAAUUCACGAGGUAGUUAAAAUUGAUAAUGGAAAUCUUCACGCGCCAGUAAUCCUUGUAGUUGAGCUUCACAUGCCAAUGCACCCUGACAGGGCACAUGUGUUGUGUGCACAGCAGUAAUGGGGUAUUGUCUUGUGUAG
RNAcentral lists this unclassified non-coding RNA (224 nucleotides) under Hevea brasiliensis (rubber tree). Lineage: Eukaryota; Viridiplantae; Streptophyta; Magnoliopsida; Malpighiales; Euphorbiaceae. The record is from RNAcentral.